This 282-nucleotide unclassified non-coding RNA is filed under the name Hevea brasiliensis (rubber tree). The record is from RNAcentral. Lineage: Eukaryota; Viridiplantae; Streptophyta; Magnoliopsida; Malpighiales; Euphorbiaceae.
AGAUGACAAAGAUGCAAGUUUGAGAACCAGACUGCAGGCGGCGGUUAGGUUCAUAUUGUUCUAAAAGAGCCAGUUCAGGAGCACCCCCCUUUGUAAAUUGAGGCAAAAGCAGGUAGAAGUCAAGGUUGCUUAUUUCAAUGGGUUGGUGAUGCUGGGUAUUUACACUAGUUUCAUAUAUAUAUAUUUUCCCAUUCCUCGUUUUAGGCUUUUUUAUUUUUUUUUUUCCUUUUCCCUCUUUUUAUGGGGGCGUGAGGUCCUUAUAUGUGAUGGUGAGAUAUAUAA